GAGUUUGAUCGUGGCUCAGGACGAACGCUGGCGGCGUGCCUAAUACAUGCAAGUAGAACGCUGAAGGAGGAGCUUGCUUCUCUGGAUGAGUUGCGAACGGGUGAGUAACGCGUAGGUAACCUGCCUGGUAGCGGGGGAUAACUAUUGGAAACGAUAGCUAAUACCGCAUAAUAGUAGAUGUUGCAUGACAUUUGCUUAAAAGGUGCAAUUGCAUCACUACCAGAUGGACCUGCGUUGUAUUAGCUAGUUGGUGAGGUAACGGCUCACCAAGGCGACGAUACAUAGCCGACCUGAGAGGGUGAUCGGCCACACUGGGACUGAGACACGGCCCAGACUCCUACGGGAGGCAGCAGUAGGGAAUCUUCGGCAAAUGGACGGAAGUCUGACCGAGCAACGCCGCGUGAGUGAAGAAGGUUUUCGGAUCGUAAAGCUCUGUUGUAAGAGAAGAACGAGUGUGAGAGUGGAAAGUUCACACUGUGACGGUAUCUUACCAG
RNAcentral lists this ribosomal RNA (494 nucleotides) under uncultured bacterium. RNAcentral's name for it is "bacterial SSU rRNA". It matches the Rfam family "Bacterial small subunit ribosomal RNA", at positions 9 to 486 of the family's 1533-position model. The record is from RNAcentral.